AAGAUUUGAGGGCUGCAAGGAGGUGAAAAUUGAAGAUGGGUGUGUUUCAAAAGUGCUUGAGCUUGAAUAAGGAAAGUGCAACCCUUGAUUUUGGGGAAGAGAAAAAGUUGGACCCAUAAAGACACAAUUGUUCCCAGUGUUGAAAUUUUUGCUGGAAAAGUUGCUGCAGCUCAUAGAAUUCUGUUGAAAAGCUAAAGAGAGUGGGCUAAUCAUUGCUUGACACUUAAUUUCAGAUACGCUUUUCUGAUCACCAAGUGUGAGAGGAUGAUUAUGCUUUUGCUGCUGAGCUUGAAUUACCAUUUGGGGAUGAACCCUGUUAAUGAUAUUGCCAUUAUUGGUACUUGUACUAGUGGCGCUUGUAGUGGCGGCUGCGGAGGCGGCUUUGGAAGUGUUUUUUGACGUUUUCAGCCGCUUGUUUUUGCGGCCACCGCCUACAGGAACAUUGCGGAGAGUGCCACCUUUAGUCCAGUGCCUCUUGCAAG
This 482-nucleotide unclassified non-coding RNA is filed under the name Hevea brasiliensis (rubber tree). The record is from RNAcentral. Lineage: Eukaryota; Viridiplantae; Streptophyta; Magnoliopsida; Malpighiales; Euphorbiaceae.